ACAGCGGCCAGAGAACAUAGCCACUCCUUCAACCGAGUUAGACUCCAGCAACGCCCAACUCACAACAAGGCGUCUUCAGGUACAGGUUUACCACUGCAAUAGCCCAAGGCGGUCAGCGCACACAACAAGAAUCCACCACCGCUGCUGUGGUCGGGCUCGUUUGGGUAGUGGAGGGUUCGAGGAACGCAUACGCGGCACCUGCCUGGACUCAACAGACUACUGAGAGGGGGGUGUACUAUGUCCUAUAUAAGCACGAGCGCGAGUUAUCUGCGUCAGGCACACUCAUCAGACUCCUGCAGCAGACAUUGGACCAGCAACACCUCAGCCGUGCUUCCGAGCUUGUGGACUUGGCCCCCGCACUGGGCUGUUUGCGAGACUGUCUCGGCUGGAUCUGUCAGUUUAGGUCCACUUUGUGGACUUCUGUUGACUUCUGACGGACUUUCUGAUGUUAUGGAGACGGUCCUGUGGAUUUAGUCUACACUGAUGGAGAUUCUGUCCCACUUUGUGGACUAUUUCUCGCGACUAAAUAUGGACUUUGUUUUUUCGCCCAGAGUGACUCUGAGUACGAAACUAAACCCUGAAGGGCUGCCAUUUAGGGCAGUCGCAUGAAGGGAACCCGUAGACGGGUUGGUCAAAGGAAGACCAGUGUUAUGGCCAUAGGGCAGCUGGUAGCCAUGUCAAAUACCUGUAAGGGGAAUCUGACUGGACUUGGGUUUUUAUUCCUUGCAGAUGUAGGCACUAUGCAGAUAUGGCCAGAAUAAAAACAAAGUGUAAGACCAACACAAAAGAUAGAAAGUUAAAACUAAUUGAGAUUUUGUGCAGCAAUAACAUUGAGAUCGGCAGAAAUAACUGGAAAUGAUUGUUUCGCGGUACUGACAAUUAAUGAACAACAUGCUGACUCCAUAUUCAGAGCAGAUGUCAAGCAUGCACUUGCUACAAAUGAUUUUACACCUGUAAUGCAACCAGAAUUAAAAGCUAAAAAGAGUGUAAUAAUCCCAAGAGUAGAUGACCUCAUCUAUGAAUGAAGUUCUGUGGAAAUUAGGGAGUAAAUUACAAAUAAAAUGUAAUAAUCCCAAGAGUAGAUGACCUUAUCUAUGAAUGAAGUCCUGUGGAAAUUAGGGAGGAAAUUACAAAUAAAAUCUUAUGUAUAGGUGAAGAAGGACUGAAAGGAGUAUAUAGGUUACCAAACUCCCCCACCAUCAAACUGACUUUUACUCAAAUACAACUAGCUAAAAGAUGUACAGAGACAGGACUUAAGGCCUUCAGCAUCAACAUUCCCUCACAUGAAAUUAAGCUAGAAAUUUGCAUACCAUGAUGAGCAUGAGGUGCUAUGCCCUCGAAGAACAUUUUACAAAUUAAUGCCCAAGGACUAAAGAAUUUAUAAUAUGCUCUGAGUGUAGUAUAGAAGGCCACGUAUGACACAAAUGCAAGGAGGCUUAUAAAAAAUGCCUGAAUUGUGGAGACAAUCACAGCACUCUUGCUUUGAUAUGUAUUAAAAGAAAUGAGGUUCUCAAAGAAAAACGAAUCCAAGAACAAGAGAGACAAAAAAUGACAUACUCUAACAUUAC
This is a long non-coding RNA of Scylla paramamosain (green mud crab), 1568 nucleotides long. RefSeq lists it as uncharacterized. The transcript is spliced from 3 exons. The record is from RefSeq and is a predicted model, not a curated record. Lineage: Eukaryota; Metazoa; Arthropoda; Malacostraca; Decapoda; Portunidae.